AUUGAACGCUGGCGGCAGGCCUAACACAUGCAAGUCGAGCGGAUGAAGGGAGCUUGCGCCUGGAUUCAGCGGCGGACGGGUGAGUAAUGAAUAGGAAUGUGCCUGGGAGUGGGGGAUAAGGUCCGGAAACGGGCCCUAAUCCCGCAUACGUCCUGAAGGAGAAAGAGAGGGAUCUUCGGACCUCACGCUAUUAGAUGCGCCCAGGUCGGAUUGGCUUGUGGGUGGGGUAAAGGCCUACCAAGGGGACGAACCGUACCUGGUCUGAGAGGAUGAUCCGGAACACUGGAACUGAGACAGGGUCCAGAUCCUUACGGGGGGCGCCGGUGGGGAAUAUUGGACAGUGACCGAAAUCCUGCUCCAGCCCUGCCCCGUGUUUGAGGAAGGUUUCCGGAUGUUAAAGCACUUUGAGUUGGGAGGAAGGUCAGUAAGUUGAUACCUUGCUCUUUUGACGGUACCAACAGAAAAAGCGCCGGCUAACUUCGUG
RNAcentral lists this ribosomal RNA (484 nucleotides) under uncultured bacterium. RNAcentral describes it as "partial 16S ribosomal RNA". It matches the Rfam family "Bacterial small subunit ribosomal RNA", at positions 30 to 507 of the family's 1533-position model. The record is from RNAcentral.